CGAUAAGGGGACUCCAAGUGCGAGGGCAUACAGUCCUCGCUUUUCUGGACCGUAAGGUGGUCCAGGAAUAAGUGCUGGGCAAGACCGGUGCCAGCCGCCGCGGUAAUACCGGCAGCACAAGUGAUGGCCAAUCUUAUUGGGCCUSCGCAAAGCGUCCGUAGCUGGCCGAGCAGGUCCGUCGGGSCGCAAAUCCACGUGCUCAACGCGUGGGCGUCCGGCGGSCGCAAACCACUCGGCUUGGGGCCGGAGGACUCGAGGGGUACGUCUGGGGUAGGAGUGSCGCAAAUCCCGUAAUCCUGGACGGACCGCCGAUGGCGSCGCAAAGCACCUCGAGAGGACGGACCCGACAGUGAGGGACGSCGCAAAGCCAGGGUCUCGAACCGGAUUAGAUACCCGGGUAGUCCUGGCCGUSCGCAAACGAUGUUCGCUAGGUGUGGCGUCGACUACGAGUCGGCGCUGUGCCGCAGGGAAGCCGCUAAGC
RNAcentral lists this ribosomal RNA (481 nucleotides) under uncultured haloarchaeon. Its description in RNAcentral is "bacterial SSU rRNA". It matches the Rfam family "Archaeal small subunit ribosomal RNA", at positions 368 to 820 of the family's 1478-position model. The record is from RNAcentral. Lineage: Archaea; Methanobacteriati; Methanobacteriota; Halobacteria; Halobacteriales; Halobacteriaceae.